RNAcentral lists this ribosomal RNA (253 nucleotides) under uncultured bacterium. Its description in RNAcentral is "partial 16S ribosomal RNA". It matches the Rfam family "Bacterial small subunit ribosomal RNA", at positions 524 to 776 of the family's 1533-position model. The record is from RNAcentral.
UACGUAGGGGACAAGCGUUGUCCGGAAUUAUUGGGCGUAAAGCGCGUGUAGGCGGCCAAGUAAGUCUUACGUGAAAACCUAAGGCUCAACCUUGGGCUUGCAGUGGGUACGGGCAGACUAGAGUGCGGUAGGGGUGACUGGAAUUCCUGGUGUAGCGGUGGAAUGCGCAGAUAUCAGGAGGAACACCGAUGGCGAAGGCAGGUCACUGGGCCGCAACUGACGCUGAGGAGCGAAAGCAUGGGGAGCGAACAGG